Long non-coding RNA from Solanum lycopersicum (tomato), 815 nucleotides. RefSeq lists it as uncharacterized. The record is from RefSeq and is a predicted model, not a curated record. Lineage: Eukaryota; Viridiplantae; Streptophyta; Magnoliopsida; Solanales; Solanaceae.
GAAUAUAAGGAUCUUUUAUACAUAAUUCAAGUAAAAAAUUAAUAAGAAAAUUUUAAUUGGUUUCGAAAUUCUAAAUAUUAGCAAACAUAAAGUUCUAUUUCAUUUAGGAUGAAAUCUACUAUUAUGAUCAACAUAAAUUUAUAAUUUGAUAAUUUUAUUUUUAAAAUAAUUAAAAUUAGCCAGACAUCGUUAUAAACAAAAAAAGUACACUAUUUUAUAAAAAAAAAUUAAGAGAUCCAGCCCAACAUAAAGGCCCAAUAUUUUAAGCGGAAAAAAACUACAAAAAGAAAUAUGUAAUCACUAAAAAGGAGAGUAAGUUGAGUGUUCAAUCGUCUUCUUCACCGCAUCACCGACUCAGAGAAGCUUUAUCGGUUGGAGAUUCAUCGGCAUCUCGGUGAAACAAUGUUAGCUAGGAAGUGGAGCUCAGAGUUGAUGAUUUUAUAUUAAAAAAAAAAAAGUGAUAUGGAGGUGUUAAGAGAAGGUGAUAAAACUCAAGACGAAGACUGUGGUAGUAGCAUUACGAACAAGGUUAUAAGUUUGUGCAAUAAUUCUCAAAAUAUUGAGGAGGGGACGCAAUUUAAUCCACAAACUAAGUUAUUGCCACCAUUGAAUGAACCAUUUAAAUCGUUGAGCGUACAAGAAUUGGCUUUCUUUGAUAAGCUUGAUCCUGGAUAUCCACAAGCAUAUAAUGUGAACAAGAAAUCACAAUGAUAUAUAGAAGCAUAUAUGUUAUGUUAUGUUACUUUAAUUUGUCGAAUUAAACUCCUUGCGCUUAUUGAGUACAAGUAUGAAUUUUAAUUUGCUAUUUCAAGAAA